CCUACGGGUGGCAGCAGUGAGGAAUAUUGGUCAAUGGACGAGAGUCUGAACCAGCCAAGUAGCGUGAAGGAUGACUGCCCUAUGGGUUGUAAACUUCUUUUAUAUGGGAAUAAAACGUUCCACGUGUGGGAUUUUGUAUGUACCAUAUGAAUAAGGAUCGGCUAACUCCGUGCCAGCAGCCGCGGUAAUACGGAGGAUCCGAGCGUUAUCCGGAUUUAUUGGGUUUAAAGGGAGCGUAGGUGGAUUGUUAAGUCAGUUGUGAAAGUUUGCGGCUAAACCGUAAAAUUGCAGUUGAAACUGGCAGUCUUGAGUACAAUAGAGGUGGGCGGAAUUCGUGGUGUAGCGGUGAAAUGCUUAGAUAUCACGAAGAACUCCGAUUGCGAAGGCAGUUCACUGGACUGCAACUGACACUGAGGCUCGAAAGUGUGGGUAUCAAACAGGAUUAGAUACCCCGGUAGUC
RNAcentral lists this ribosomal RNA (460 nucleotides) under uncultured bacterium. RNAcentral's name for it is "partial 16S ribosomal RNA". It matches the Rfam family "Bacterial small subunit ribosomal RNA", at positions 338 to 795 of the family's 1533-position model. The record is from RNAcentral.